GAUAAACGCUGGCGGCGUGCCUAAUACAUGCAAGUCGAGCGAACGGACGAGAAGCUUGCUUCUCUGAUGUUAGCGGCGGACGGGUGAGUAACACGUGGAUAACCUACCUAUAAGACUGGGAUAACUUCGGGAAACCGGAGCUAAUACCGGAUAAUAUUUUGAACCGCAUGGUUCAAAAGUGAAAGACGGUCUUGCUGUCACUUAUAGAUGGAUCCGCGCUGCAUUAGCUAGUUGGUAAGGUAACGGCUUACCAAGGCAACGAUGCAUAGCCGACCUGAGAGGGUGAUCGGCCACACUGGAACUGAGACACGGUCCAGACUCCUACGGGAGGCAGCAGUAGGGAAUCUUCCGCAAUGGGCGAAAGCCUGACGGAGCAACGCCGCGUGAGUGAUGAAGGUCUUCGGAUCGUAAAACUCUGUUAUUAGGGAAGAACAUAUGUGUAAGUAACUGUGCACAUCUUGACGGUACCUAAUCAGAAAGCCACGGCUAACUACGUGCCAGCAGCCGCGGUAAUACGUAGGUGGCAAGCGUUAUCCGGAAUUAUUGGGCGUAAAGCGCGCGUAGGCGGUUUUUUAAGUCUGAUGUGAAAGCCCACGGCUCAACCGUGGAGGGUCAUUGGAAACUGGAAAACUUGAGUGCAGAAGAGGAAAGUGGAAUUCCAUGUGUAGCGGUGAAAUGCGCAGAGAUAUGGAGGAACACCAGUGGCGAAGGCGACUUUCUGGUCUGUAACUGACGCUGAUGUGCGAAAGCGUGGGGAUCAAACAGGAUUAGAUACCCUGGUAGUCCACGCCGUAAACGAUGAGUGCUAAGUGUUAGGGGGUUUCCGCCCCUUAGUGCUGCAGCUAACGCAUUAAGCACUCCGCCUGGGGAGUACGACCGCAAGGUUGAAACUCAAAGGAAUUGACGGGGACCCGCACAAGCGGUGGAGCAUGUGGUUUAAUUCGAAGCAACGCGAAGAACCUUACCAAAUCUUGACAUCCUUUGACAACUCUAGAGAUAGAGCCUUCCCCUUCGGGGGACAAAGUGACAGGUGGUGCAUGGUUGUCGUCAGCUCGUGUCGUGAGAUGUUGGGUUAAGUCCCGCAACGAGCGCAACCCUUAAGCUUAGUUGCCAUCAUUAAGUUGGGCACUCUAAGUUGACUGCCGGUGACAAACCGGAGGAAGGUGGGGAUGACGUCAAAUCAUCAUGCCCCUUAUGAUUUGGGCUACACACGUGCUACAAUGGGCAAUACAAAGGGCAGCGAAACCGCGAGGUCAAGCAAAUCCCAUAAAGUUGUUCUCAGUUCGGAUUGUAGUCUGCAACUCGACUACAUGAAGCUGGAAUCGCUAGUAAUCGUAGAUCAGCAUGCUACGGUGAAUACGUUCCCGGGUCU
This 1372-nucleotide ribosomal RNA is filed under the name uncultured bacterium. RNAcentral's name for it is "bacterial SSU rRNA". It matches the Rfam family "Bacterial small subunit ribosomal RNA", at positions 28 to 1381 of the family's 1533-position model. The record is from RNAcentral.